Molecule: ribosomal RNA, 468 nt
Filed under: uncultured bacterium
Lineage: Bacteria
Description: partial 16S ribosomal RNA
Rfam family: Bacterial small subunit ribosomal RNA
Source: RNAcentral
GACGAACGCUGGCGGCGUGCUUAACACAUGCAAGUCGAACGGAAAGGCCCUGCUUUUGUCGUGUGCUCGAGUGGCGAACGGGUGAGUAACACGCGAGUAACCUGCCCUUGACUUUGGGAUAACUUCAGGUAACUGGGGCUACUACUGGAUAGGAGCUCCUGCUGCAUGGUGGGGGUUGGAAUGUUUCGGCGGUCGGGGCUGGACUCUCGGCUUAUCAGCUUGUUGGUGGGGUAGUGGCUUACCAAGGCAGUGACGGGUAGCCGGCCUGAGAGGGUGACCGGCGACAUUGGGACUGAGAGACGGACCAGACGCGUACGGUGGGCAGCAGUGGGAAAUAUUGCACAAUGGGCGGAAGCCUGAUGCAGCAGCGUCGCGUGCGGAAUGACGGCCUUCGGGGUGUAAACCGCUUUCGCCUGUGACGAAGCGUGAGUGACGGUAAUGGGUAAAGAAGCACCGGCUAACUACGUG